Molecule: long non-coding RNA, 5718 nt
Organism: Balaenoptera musculus (blue whale)
Lineage: Eukaryota; Metazoa; Chordata; Mammalia; Artiodactyla; Balaenopteridae
Exons: 5
Source: RefSeq, a predicted model, not a curated record
CAAAAAUUGCUACUAAGUUAACCUUUAAGCCACAUAUGCCAGGUUAGAAUGCAGUCACCAAUCACCAUUGCUUUAAUUCUCCCAACUUACAUGGCGCUGAGCCACCUGAACUGAAAGUUGGAUGAAACUCUCCUUUGAAUAAGGCUCAUCACAGGACUUAAUGUAGCCUGGUUCCUCAGCCAAUGCCUGCUAAAUACCAGCUUGGACCCCAACAAGGAGAAAAAAGGUCCAAACUCUCCUUUUGGCUAAUGAUUUGAUUGUCAAACCAAGAUGUCUCAAACCUAUAAUUCUAGUUUUAAUUGACUGCAUUCUGUUUGAAAGAGCAAUAGCUUCAGGGGAGGAGAGUAAGAACUUUUAUUAACCACAGAGUGUGUAUUGGGCCCUGGACAUGUCAGGUCAUUUGGUCCUUAAAACAGCCCUGGGAAGGGCAGUAGUGGCUCUGCUUCACAGAAUAGCACCCAGGGACCCCAGGAAACCAGUGGUCACCCAACGCCAUAUAACUAGCAAAGAGUGGAAUCUAGUCUGAACUCAGAUGGGCUUAACUCCUUUUUUCCUCUAAGAGGCAUGUUUUUCCUUGCCAACCUCAACAAUGAGAGAAAAAGAGGCAGAAAGAUAAUCUAAAAAAUGGAGUGACUGCUUACUUAAGAGGCUGUAACAAGAUUGGAGCUUGGUGGCUAUUGCUAGAGUCUCCAGGGCAGGGUCCUUAGGAAGAUUCCUAAAUUGCUGACCGUGACUCAUUCAGUCCUUUUUGUUGCCUGAUUUAUCAUCUGAUCCUAAGACUGUGCUGUAACUUUGGGGUGAAAAAAACAAAGCUAAGAAUCCAUACAGUAUUCACAGCUCCCAUCUAAUGCCUUGAUUCCUGAGAUGCCUACUUUAUACAGAAUGGGGGAAACGCAUACAAGGAAGUUGCAUGCCGUGAUUGAACAACACUCCAAAUACAGCUUCCGACUUGUGCCAGGACAGACUAAUUCAUGUGGACUCAGAGGAGCCUCAGGGACAGAUUUUUGGAAAAGCAGGCCUUGGGGUUCUGGAAGCUUAGUGCUCUUACUACAGAGCACUCCUGUUCCUGUCUCCUCUUCCCUCUGGAAAGAGUCCCGGGGUUGCUGGAGUCGGGGUCAAAUGAGGGGUCAGUAGUAGCAAAGGUGAUGACACUCCCUCAUUCCUCCGCCUAGAGAACCUUCUUAGCCUUUCCCCAGACAUGUUCUCUAGUAAAGAACUCCUUCCACUUCAGCCUUGCUGGGAUCCACAGAUUUCAAAAUGAAGAUUUUGGUUCCGCCUUGUCCAAACACUGAGACCGUUUUCGUUGCAGACUGGGAGCUGGCAGCGGCUCUUCAGAGCCAGGAUAUGUAGAAUUCCUUAAAAACAUGCAGCAUGGAGCAGCAUGAAAACCUUAGAAAUGCUUUUGAGAAUCAACUUAAUCUUCCAGCUCUGAAACCAGCUACGUGAUGAUGGGGGCUUUUGUUUUCUUUGCAGAGCCUGGGCUCCCUUUGAGAAAACUGACAAAUUUGUAAAUGUGGUAAAGAUAACACUUUUCAAUAAGCUGUUAUUUCUCCCUCUUUAUUAUUUGGGUCAAAGAAUUUUUUGAAUUCAUUCCAAUUCUUUUCACUUUGUGUAUCAGGAAAAACAGUCAUAGCAAGAAAGACUUGACCAAUAUAUUCUUUUCAUAUCACAAAUUCUCAAAGUUUUUUUUUUCUGAGAGGAAUGAAAGUAAUUUUAUUCGUUGUUGGGUUAUGGUCAAGUACUUGCAAAUGACAUGUUUUUUUCCAUGAAAUAAGCGCUUUCUGAUCUACCUGAUUGCAAUACUUAAAAUGUCAUGCAUCCAGUGGCGUCCCGUCUAAAAUGAUUUGUUGUUACUGCUAAAGAUGAUUUUACAAAUAUCCCUCCAAGUGACAACAGAAAGCAGACAUGAACUGAUUUUUUUAAAUUAGAAUUUUGUUAGCCUUAUGUUUUGGAUUAAGAAAGAGAUGUGGUCAGUUAAUGGUUUUAUUCCAUUUUUAUUGCAAACAAGAAUGAAAAAGAGAAAAAAUAUUUCCACACUGGAUUCCCCUUGAAUGAAUUCAAGCAAAGUUCAUUACUAGUGAUUUUGCAUCUGGCAAAGGUGUAAAAUUGUGCCGAUAGAGGUGUCGAUUUGCUCCAAUUCAGCAGGGCCCAGCCCUUUGGUGGGCAGUGCUGGCCUGGGAGAAGUGGCCUUCUCUGCACAUCUGUUAAGUCCCAGGGGCUUCUGGGGUUUGGUCAGAAGCUCAUGCUAAAAACGAUCUUUUUCCCCACCAGAUUCUAGGUAGAAGAGGUAUGUCAUCCACUAUAAACGAUGACUGGAUCAUUUCAGACUCUGACAAUACGAGCCACGUCUUAGGACUAUGCAGUUCUUCCUGACAUUUCCUUCCAUGAACAAUUGCACACAAUUCCACACACUUGUGUUUGCCAUUCAGUGUUCUUCAUACACGUGGGACCUGCCAAAAUCUUUAACGCGCCCUGCAACUCUGCUUCUGACAGGUCCCUCAUCGCCCCAGGCCCCCGUUUCCUCCUCUGCAAAUGAGGGAAAUGCUCUAUAACUCCUUCCAACCUCUUCUUCCAUCUCUAGAAUAUUCCAUUAAGAGGACAGGGUUAAGAAUCAUUGCUUCGAAAGAAACUCUAAGGUUUCUAUCACCUGAGGGCAAAGGUGGGCCUGCAAGUCAUUUAUUGUCUCAAAAAAUUAAGACCUUUCUUUAAACAUAGACCUACCAUAUGAUCCAGCCAUUCUACUCCUAGCUACUUACUCAAGAGAAAUAAAAACAUGUCUGCACAAAGACUUGUACAGGAAGCUUUAUUCCCAAAAACCCCAAACUGGAAACAACCCAAAUGCCCAUUAAUAGAUGAAAGAAUAAGCAAAAUGUUGUACAUCCAUACAAUGGAUUACUAUUGAGCAAUAUAAAGGAACAAAAUGACACAUGCAAUAACAUAAAUGAAUCUCACUGUGCUGAAUGAAGGAAGCCAGACACAAGGCUACAUACUGUAUAUUCUGGUUAUGUAAGAUUCUGGAGAAUGCAAACUAAUCUACUACAGUUACACAAGGCAGGUCAGUGCUUGCUUGUGGACUGCAGAAGGGUACAAGGGAUCUUUUUGUGGAGGGAAAUGUUCUGUAUUUUGAUUGUGACGGUAGUUUCACAGGUGGAUGCAACUGUCAAAGCUCAUCAAAAUGCGCACUUUAAAUGAAUACAACUCAUGUAAAUUGUUUCUCAAAGUUAUCAGGGAAAAUUGUUUUGUAAGCUCUUGACUGUUCAAUCUGAGGCUUGAAGAAAAUACAUAAUGGGCAGCGGAUAAAGUUUUGAGGGGCCAUGAUAUCAAAAAAGGAUUGAUAAACCCAAAAUAUUCUUAAACAUUCUGGAAAGCCCUUUAGUUUCUGGGCAGCAUGUAUGAAUUUGUAGGAAAAGAAUUUAUCUUCUGAUUUCAGGUAAAGCCCAGAACAAAGAACUGCCUUGGGAGCUAAGCAAGGUAUGUUGCUCCACGAACAAAGGCAAGUACAUGGUGGUGCGCAGCUUCCUGUCUUUGCAGCAAGUCAGGCUCCUUCAUACCGAUUUCUUCCUUCACUCUGCCCGAGGUGGUAUUUACGGGUCUACUCAGGAGUGGAUUCCAUUCUACUUUUUGAAUGUCUAUUCAGAAAAACUAGAAAGCUGUAGGGCAUAUUCUUCCUUUAUAGGCUACAUGGGGCGACCGAUUUUAGUUGGCACCACUUGUAGAAUCACAGGAUGUGAGAUUUGGAAGGAACCUCAGAGAUUCUCCUGUCCAACUUCCCAAAGGAGGAAGCUGAGGCCCAGAGAACGUAAGUGACCCGCCUGAGAACACAAAGCACAAGCAGGACUAAAAAUCACUGCUCUCCGGGAGUCUCUCCACUUUAAUACAGUGGCUCCUCACGUAUUGAAAAAGUACAACCCAAAAUCUCUAGCCAGAUCCUAAAUCCGAGCUUAAUUAGCCUGCUGCAUCUUUAUUUUUUUUAAUUUUUAAAAAUUUUUUAUUUUUUUUAAUGAAAGCUAUAAAGUGGUUGGAUUCUAGCUGAGAGAAAAGCAGCAAAUUCUCAGUUCUGGCCUACUGUGAGGAAAUGUAAGGAGCAAACCUCGGCACGGGAAUGAAUGCAAGGCAUUUAUGAUUCUUGUAGAACUUGGCAGCAAUUACAAAAGCCUGUUCCAUGGUGGAAAUGACCAUGUUAAAUUUCCAUUCUUAUUUGCAUUUGCAGAAAUAGAAUAAAAUUAUUUCUUGGGUAGAAGCAUUCUCUGUGACUGGGAAGUGCUUCUUGUUCGUUACCGCUCCUUUUACUCUUCAUGUAUUUCCCCUUGAUCGCUGUUGAAAUAGCAGAUAUUUCAUACAGAGAGAACAUUCAUCACAGCAGAUUCUUGACUGCAGUUGAGUCAGAUUCUGCCGUCAGAAGCAGCCACUGCCAGGGAGUAAAUUAGGCCUUUCUGGAAGCUCCACUACCACCCAGUCUAAUAUGGCUUUAAUUUCCAAACUACAGUUUGGCAGUUUGGCAACCUCCUCUUCUUGCAUCUGACCCCUUGGCGCCUGGGCAGGCAUGGGGUUUCACGGGGCCGAGACGUCCCCUCGGGGGUCGUGAGGUUGCUUCCCAGUGGUAUCUGGAUGGCACUUGCCAGCUGGUGCUGGUGCAGGGGAGACAAAGAUGAUAGCGGUGUAACUUAGCAUGGCCUUGGCCCUUUGGUUGGCCGGUGCACUGGUAACAUGUUUUGCUCUUCCCGCAGACUCUGCAGAAGGUCUGUUGUAGAGUUUGGUAGAAUGACUAGGACAGUAACUUCUGGAAGAAGACUUCGGAUUGUUGGAAUCACCCCAAGCCGAAGAAGCAACAUCGGCGGCCCCUGCUUCUGUGGGGGGGCUCCUGGAUCACCAAGCGACGGCACGUCCUGGGGGUGUCGGCAGUGCUGGGGCCCACCCUUCCCCGUGGUGGUGUUUCCUGGGUCACUCUGUCUUGUCCUGAGGGCCAUGCUGUGCCGUGGCUGCGGGACACACCUUUCGUGUGUGGGCACCGUGGGUGGGCAGGUCUGACCCUGUACCCAGUGCCUCCUGCCACUGAGCACCGUGAGGGACAGGCCCCCUCACACUGCCGACACCUGUGCGUCCACGAGGGCAUCUGUCAGCGCUGAAUUCCUUGUUGAGCAAGUGGAUAAUAAGACUUCUCCACUCUGGCUUCUGCCCACACUGCUCUGCCAAAAGUGCUCUCUCCAAGGUAACCAGUAACCUCUAUGUCGUCCUUUCUGGGGAACAUUUCUGAGUCCUCAUCUUCCUGGAAUGCUCCUUAGAGGACCAUCUGAGAAUCCUUCUACUGCACACGGAAGAAAAACCAACUCAAACUGUGGCAAACAAAGCAGUCUGCCUUUCCACAGAAAGUCAAAAUUGAAAUUCUGACUUUUUCAGCUUCACCCAGUUCUUUCUACAAAGAGUAAACAUGAAGACUCCUGUAGCAAAAAAAUGAAGUUUCAACCAGUUUACAGAGCUCAGCAAAGGUCAGGAUGAACGACGGAAUCACAAAGGACUAAGGAAUUCCACAGGGCCUAGAUUUCCAGGAGAGGUUUUCUCCUGUCUUGAAACUACAGAAGUAAAACCUGAAGUUAUGAUCCAGGCUAUAACUGAGCUGUAUAAUAAAUAAUGAACCUCAGAUUCAAUGAAAUAUAACAGACCUCAUCAUCCAAUACAAAAGCUGUAUUACUGAACACUACUGAAGAAAAGUAAGACCAU